This 726-nucleotide long non-coding RNA is filed under the name Toxoplasma gondii VEG. Lineage: Eukaryota; Apicomplexa; Conoidasida; Eucoccidiorida; Sarcocystidae. The record is from RNAcentral.
CGCAGACGCUGGAUAUAUCCGGUGCAUGCUGGACUGUUGCGCAGGUUGUAUAGUACCAAAAGGCCAAUAUAGAUGACACGGUCAAUCCGGACACGCGUGGUAAAUUUUCGCUUCAGUGUAGCUCUCUUUUGAUCUGAAAACUCGAUGCUGUAUGGACUCGAGGAAGUCUCAUUCUUCUGUCAUCCCGCCUUCCUGGCCCUCCUCUGCACAGUGUUUACUUUAUCUCCCAUGUUACCCAUGGGUGUUGCGUCAGCGAGGAUCCAGGUGCGUUUUCAAAAUCAGUAUAUGUUAGCGAGUCCCCACGCUGUCGCACUUGUCUCCAGUUUGGAAUGGGAGGGGUAAGAAUGCUGUGGACCGUCAGUUUCUGCAGCCGCUUUCUAGGGUGUACGUGCCGGAAUGUUUUUCUUUCCGUGUAAAUGGAAGGCGCAAAGCAGUCAGCGUAUCCUUGGUUUUCCCAUCUCAGGAGCGAGUCCUCCUGAAGGUACAAAUGACUCGACGGUUUCCCGUAAUGCGAAGGCUUCUUGACCACCCUAAAAGUUGCAGGGAUAUUAUUGUUCACAUGUGUCUUGAAACGCAUCGUUUAACGUCCGGUUCCAGAGACAGGUAAUUCCUUGGGAUUCAACUGUGUGAGGAGCCCGUCCACAGAAAAUGCCCAUGUCACCACGGUCAGGAACUUCCAUGUGCACAGGGAGCUGAGGGGCCUGCGAAUGUACCCACGGUGCCAGC